GACGAACGCUGGCGGCGUGCCUAAUACAUGCAAGUAGAACGCUGAAGGAGGAGCUUGCUUCUCUGGAUGAGUUGCGAACGGGUGAGUAACGCGUAGGUAACCUGCCUGGUAGCGGGGGAUAACUAUUGGAAACGAUAGCUAAUACCGCAUAAUAGCAGUUGUUGCAUGACAACUGUUUGAAAGGUGCAAUUGCACCACUACCAGAUGGACCUGCGUUGUAUUAGCUAGUUGGUGGGGUAACGGCUCACCAAGGCGACGAUACAUAGCCGACCUGAGAGGGUGAUCGGCCACACUGGGACUGAGACACGGCCCAGACUCCUACGGGAGGCAGCAGUAGGGAAUCUUCGGCAAUGGACGGAAGUCCGACCGAGCAACGCCGCGUGAGUGAAGAAGGUUUUCGGAUCGUAAAGCUCGGUUGUAAGAGAAGAACGAGUGUGAGAGUGGAAAGUUCACACUGUGACGGUAUCUUACCAGAAAGGGACGGCUAACUACGUG
RNAcentral lists this ribosomal RNA (495 nucleotides) under uncultured bacterium. RNAcentral's name for it is "partial 16S ribosomal RNA". It matches the Rfam family "Bacterial small subunit ribosomal RNA", at positions 28 to 507 of the family's 1533-position model. The record is from RNAcentral.